RNAcentral lists this long non-coding RNA (849 nucleotides) under Homo sapiens (human). Its description in RNAcentral is "HSALNT0230437". The record is from RNAcentral. Lineage: Eukaryota; Metazoa; Chordata; Mammalia; Primates; Hominidae.
GUCGCUCCCCGCCGGCUGCCGUUAGGGCUGGGAGCCGGCUGGGCGCGGGGGUAGUGAGGGUGCCUCUCGCCGUGGCUGCGCGGCGGCCUCGUCCGAGAGGCCGGCGCCGGGGCAGUGACCGGCCCGUGCCCAGCCGCCGCGCAGGGCGCCCGGGGCAGCUGGCCGAGCCCUCGAUGCCUCCCGUCUGACGGAGGCGCCCGGGAAGCGCCGCCCACCUCGGCCCCGCACCCUCGCCGGCCUGCCGGGUCUCCGCCAGCCCUAGCAGACAGAGAGGGGCGCCGGUCCCUAGUCCCCCAGACCUCCAUUCAAGGUCAAAACUUUGCCCAGCUCAGCCUUGCUCGACCCUGGGCAGGGAAGCGCGGACAUCGGCAGAGGGAGCCCGAGGCUCUCCGUGCCCUUCGCGCCGCUCCCCAAGGAUGGAUAACACUAACAUAUAGUCAGUGGGAAAGAAAUCUCAGAAAAUAACUGUUAGUUUGUCACUGUCAUGGGAAAUGGGAAGGAAGAAAAACAGCACUUAUCAAGCAUCUUCUGUGUACAAACUGCCAUUUCAGACUCAGAGCAGUCCUUGAAGGUCAAGAACUGUGGAAUCUUUCAGAUGAUAUUCUGAUACUUCUGGACCAAGAUUGAAUUUGUUCUUCAUGAAAAAUGUCUGGGACCUUUUAUAUGGACGGGGAAUACCAACGUAGAGAUGGUCAAGAAAAUUUGCGCUCCGACCUAAACCAAGCACGUUGUAUGGUAGUUGGAGAGCUAAAUGUGCGGAUUGGCUGAGUUGGCCAGCUAGAGUUAUUCAAUUAAAAAAAAAUUAAAAACAUCUCUGGAAACAUUGCUCCCAUCAAAUAUUAAAAUGAU